GCUGUCCACAGUGUGUUUGAUAAGCUGACAUAUGACAGGGAAUUCUUUCGCUGUUGUGUCAGUUUAUCAAACCCAUACCUGGAUGAC
RNAcentral lists this microRNA precursor (87 nucleotides) under Nannospalax galili (Upper Galilee mountains blind mole rat). RNAcentral describes it as "miRNA (ENSNGAG00000005376.1)". It matches the Rfam family "mir-599 microRNA precursor family". The record is from RNAcentral. Lineage: Eukaryota; Metazoa; Chordata; Mammalia; Rodentia; Spalacidae.